Manis pentadactyla (Chinese pangolin) is the source of this 3565-nucleotide long non-coding RNA. RefSeq lists it as uncharacterized. The record is from RefSeq and is a predicted model, not a curated record. The transcript has 3 exons. NCBI's taxonomy places the organism in Eukaryota, Metazoa, Chordata, Mammalia, Pholidota, Manidae.
UUGCCGGCCCCGCUGCCCUUCUGUAGCCAGGCAGCGUGGGGGGCGUGGCGCCUGAGCCGCGGAAGGAGAGCUGGAGUCCCACAGCUGCAGGGUGGGGCAGAGAGGUGAAAACUGCAGGCCGAAGAGAGGGGAGACACGGCCAGCGCUCGCUUUGGGGAGAUCACCUUGAAGCAGAGCCAAGGACAAUGUUCUAAGACCAGAAGUCUGUCCCCCUGGGGAACUGAGCCAAGCAUGUGGAGACAAACUUCAGUUCAUUCAGCAAACUCGUACUGAGAGGCCCUUGCUAAGCUUCAGGGAAUACGACCAAGACAAGCCCUACCUUCGUGAGGGUUAGAUAUAACUGAAGAAGAUACAAAAGGGCAAACAAGCAAGCACGUAAAUAAACGCAUUCACUACUGUGGCUCCUCAUCUGUAGGACAAACAUGACUGGAGCCCCACAUACCCACCCCCUGAAGACCUGAAUGAAGAGAAGCGGCUGGAUUUGGGGGCAUUUGUACCGUCAGGACCGUUCAGGCUAGCCGUGGAGGUUUCCAUUCAGCAGGCUGUGAGCCAGGCAGGCUUUGGGAGGGAGCAUGCUGCCUGGUCAGAGAGACCACUUCCCGAGUCCCUGAGGAGAUGGCAAGAAGACGGGGAGUGUUUGAUGUUGUCUGCUGUACCCGCGGUCUGAUACAGCAAGGAUUGCUCUUAUUGUUCCCACUUCAGGGAUGACGACCCUGGUCAGGAGGGACCCUGCUCAUAGCACACAGCUAUAGUGGUGGGGCCAGGCCAGGAGGGACAGCCGCUUGGAGUCGGUGUGGAGGGACCCCACACUCCAGUGAUGCAGGGGCUACGGCCUGAUUUCACACUUGUCCAGGGAGGCAGAUUCGAACCUGGUGGCAGCUUUCCACCCCCUAGACCUUCCUCCCAACACUCCUGAUGGAUCAUAUGACUACCAUGAGCUAUCCUGUAUUUGUGUCUUUGUGCUUCUGAAGAAUAGAUUCCUGGAAGUAGAGCUGCUCGGGUUCAAACCAUGGAGACCACGAGCUGCACUUACCAACGCUCCUACUUGCCACUAAUGUCUGAGAAUGUAUUUCCCCACACCUUGGCCAACAUGGGCUGUAACGAUUUAAUGUUGCCAGGGUGAUAGAGAACAAAAAUUUUGUUUUAAUUUUAAUUUUAAUUAUAAUUUCCUGAAUAUUACAUCCAAAGUUAAGCAUCCUUACAUCUGUUCAUCUUUGAUAUUUCUUUUAUCUGUGAAUUACUUUUUCAUAUACUUUGCCCACCUUGUUUGUUUCGUUUUUGAUCCUUUUUUUAUUGAUUUGUGGGAGCUCUUUAUAUGUACUGGAUAUUAUAUGUCUGCAUUUUCAGUUGCUUUAACCAUUUUCUUCCAGUCUAUCAUUUGUCUUUUAACUGUAUGUUAUUUUUGGACAAACAAGUUUUAAAUAUUUUGGUUAGUUAUAUUUCUAAUUCAUGCCCUUUUUAGGCCUGUAGAUUUUAUGUAUUAGUAAGGAAGUAUAUCCUACUAAGAUUGUAAGGAACUGUUUUUUUUUUAUCCUUACCUUUUGAAACCAUUUGUAAUUUAUUUUUUAUUAUGCUGUGGGAGUAUGCUAUAUAGAAUUUUUUAUAUAGAUAGCCAAUAGCCCCCAUCUUGUCAUUUAUUGACUAUUUCAUUGUUUUGCCACUGAAUUUAAGAAGCCAACUUUAUGAUAAACUGUUUUUCCAUAUGUACAUAAUAUGUUUCUAGAUUUGUUCCUCUAUUCUUUGGCUAUUUCUAUAGGAAUUCCCUGCUGAUUUAAUUGCUAUGACCUUUAAAAUAGUUGGAUAUCUCACAAGGGAAGUUAUCCCUCGUUAUUUUUCUUUUUCAAAUUUUUUGUCUACCUCAAGAAAUUUCCCUUCCAGGGAAAAGAAGCAUCUUGUCAGAUACCAUGAACAGUCUUACUGAGAUUUUGACUGGGGUCCCAUUGAAUUAUAGAUCAUUUAUGGGAGAACCCAUAUAUCUAACUCUUAUUGAAGGCUAUUCAGUAAAGCUUAGUAGCCUUUUUGUAUAGUUCUUAGACAUUUUAUUAGAUUUCUUUCUAGAUAUUUGGGAAUUUGUUGCUUUUAAGAAUGAGAGCAUUUUCAUUUCACUUUCUUAUUGGUGUUUGCAAGCAUGUAAUUAAGCUAUUGAUUUUUCUGUGCUGACCAUAUAUCUGGCUAUACUGCUAAAUUCUCUUAUUUGUUUGUCAAUUGAUUCUCUUGAGAAUUUUCUAGGUGGAUGAAUGGAUAGUCUGCAAGUAAUUUCAGUUUUGUCCCUUUUUUCCACUGUUAAUAUAUCAUAGCUUUGGCUAGAAUCUCCAAUAAAAAGGCUGAAUGAUGCAAUAAUGGGAAUACUGUUUCUUUUUAUUUUAUUAUCAAGUAUAAUUAUUACUGUGGAGUUCCAAUGUCCUUUAUCAAAUUAAGAAAGAAACUAAUUUGCUAGAAGCUUUGUUUUCUUAAUCAUAAAAGUAUGUAUGUUGAAUAUUUUCAAAAGAGUUUUGUUCUCUAUGAAAAUAAUUAUGUGGUUUUUCUUAUACUCUAAUAAAGCAGUGAUUUAAAUUGGUAGAGUUUUUUUCUAAAGUUGAACACACUUGUAUCUCUGAGAUGUCUUUUAAUAUACUGCUGAGUUGAAAUAACUCAUUAAAAAAAAAUAAAAACUCCAUCAAUUAAUUUUACAAGAUCAUACUCUAAAAGUGGUCUAAUUUAAAGUUAACAACAAAGGACACAUUAAUAAAAUCAUAACAUCUACUUAUUUUCAAGAUUUUUACCAAUUAAAGGAACAAAGAUAAAAACAAAAGUGGAAAGAAAGACACUUUCACAGAAACAUCUAGAGACAAAGAAAGACACAAAGAAAUGUAAAACUAAGGAAAAAAGAUUAGAGGAGAAAGGUGAGAAGACUUAUAAACAUAUUCAAAAGAGAUACAUCUAGAAAAGAUGAAAAGUAGAUAGAUGGCACCCAUGAUCAUAGAGAGAGGGACAAAGAGGGAGGAAGAGGGGGUGGGACAGCUGAGGGGAGGCAGGCAGAGAGGGGAGAAUACACUGCGACUGAAACAAAUGCAGAAUGAUUAUUGGACACUGGUCCUCCUGGGUGACCCUGUCCUCCACAUGGCCCUUCUGGUUUCUGUUUUAUAUGGUAUUUUCUUUAGGAGCUAUGCAUCUGUGUUCAUGAGGAAGAUUGACAUACAGUUUUAUUGUCCUGAACUGUACUCUUUUGUCUCCUGAAACAUUUCAUUUCUUGAUUAACUGCAUUGCUUUUACUUGUAUCUCAUUAAUUUCUACUUUUAUGUUAAUUCCAUCAUUCUACUUUUUUGGAAAUUUUAAAUGGUUUGUCAAUAGUUUCUUGUGUUGAAGGUUUAGUUCAUUUAUCUUUAAUCUUUCUUUUUUUUCUAAUAAAGGCAUGUAAGCCAUGCUUUUUCCUUUGAGUACUACUUUGGCAGAAAAUCACAUAUUUUGUGGUAUGGUAUUUCUGACAUAAAUCACAGAGAGAAUAAUCACCAACAUUAUUCAGACUAAAUAGUUUGGACAUUAUAUACUUUUAUUUUCCCUCUAAUUCAAGAGCUAUUAAAAUUUG